This 524-nucleotide ribosomal RNA is filed under the name uncultured bacterium. RNAcentral's name for it is "bacterial SSU rRNA". It matches the Rfam family "Bacterial small subunit ribosomal RNA", at positions 15 to 518 of the family's 1533-position model. The record is from RNAcentral.
GAUCCUGGCUACAGAACGAACGCUGGCAGCGUGGAUUAGGCAUGCAAGUCGAACGGGAUCGGGGAGGCAGCAAUGUCGCCCCGUGAGAGUGGCGGAAGGGCGAGGAACACGUGGGCAACCUGUCCAGAAGGUGGGGAAAACCUCGGGAAACUGAGGCUAAUACCGAAUGCGGCGCUCCAACGCAUGUUGGACGCGCCAAAGGGGGCCGAAAGGCUCUCCCUUCACGAGGGGCUCGCGCACCAUCAGCUAGUUGGCGGGGUAACGGCCCACCAAGGCGUACGGUUAGCUGGUCUGAGAGGAUGGCCAGCCGCACUGGGACUGAGAUACUGCCCAGACUCCUACGGGAGGCUGCAGUCGAGGAUCAUUCGCAAUGGGGGAAACCCUGACGAUGCGACGCUGCGUGGAGGAUGGAGGCCUUCGGGUCGUAAACUCCUGUCAUGACGGAAAGGGAGAGGGACCCAACACGUCCCUUAUUUGAUGGUACGUCAAGAGGAAGAGACGGCUAACUCUGUGCCAGCCGCCGC